AUAUCUAGUUCUCACAUGUAUCUUGCUUUUCUCCUAUGUAUCUUGUUUUUAUCUUAUGUAUCUUUAAAUCUUGAUUAAGGAACAUUGUAUCUGUCUUUGUUUUUGACAUGAAUGUAUGAAAAUGUUCCUAUUUUGAUCAAUGAAGUUUGAAGUUUAUUAUUUAUUGCAUCUUUUUCCAUAUAUAUAUUUUUGAUGAUAACAAAAAGGGGGAGAAGAAAAGAAAGAGUAUUUAAGAAAAGAAAGAGUAUUUAAGAAAAGAAAGAGUAUUAAGAAAAGAAAGAGUAUUAAUUUUGGGAGAAGUAAAGAUAUAUAACAAAAAGAGGAGAAAUAAAGAUAAAAGUUAUGUAAAGAAAAGAGAAAUAAAUGGGCAAACAAAUUGAAAAUCAUAUAAGAAAGCUUAUACAUCAAGGGGGAGCAAUUUGUAACAAUGAAAUUGACUAAAUCAAAAAUUUCCAUCAAAGUUCAGAAUUUGGCACAUAUAAAUUCAGAAUUUGGCACGCACCUCUUGCACCCCGAUACAUAACCUGAAACU
RNAcentral lists this long non-coding RNA (532 nucleotides) under Phoenix dactylifera (date palm). RNAcentral's name for it is "long non-coding RNA (PDAC_LNC022375)". The record is from RNAcentral. Lineage: Eukaryota; Viridiplantae; Streptophyta; Magnoliopsida; Arecales; Arecaceae.